UAAAAGUCGUAACAAGGUUUCCGUAGGUGAMCUGCGGAAGGAUCAUUAUUGAAAACUUUGGGGAUAUUGUUGCUGGCCUCUUAACGAGGUAUGUGCACAUAUUUCURAUCUAUUCAUCCACCUGUGCACUUUUUGUAGAAGUUUCUUUUCGAGUUAGUACACAUGUGUCUCUAAAGGACCUUGUAAGAAAAUUCGAUAGAGCUUCUAUGUAACACAAACUCGUUAUGCAUGUUAUAGAAUGUUAUUUUACUGGGACUUGAUUGACCCUUUAAACUUAUACAACUUUCAGCAACGGAUCUCUUGGCUCUCCCAUCGAUGAAGAACGCAGCGAAAUGCGAUAAGUAAUGUGAAUUGCAGAAUUCAGUGAAUCAUCGAAUCUUUGAACGCACCUUGCGCCCUCUGGUAUUCCGGAGGGCAUGCCUGUUUGAGUGUCAUUAAAUUCUCAACUUGAUCAGUUUUUAUAAUUGAUUGAAGCUUGGAUGUGGGGGUUUGCUGGCAUCACCUAGAUGUUUUCCGGCUCUCCUUAAAUGCAUUAGUAGGAACCCGCUAGUUGGCAUCCAUUGUGUGAUAAUUAUCUACGCUUUGGUUAGUUCAACAGCUCUAAUAAAGCAUUAUACUUCAGGACACUUUGGUGUUUCUGGUUUGGGUUUUGUACUUUUUGUGCUUUACCUGUUUAACUUGGGGUUUUGUACUUUUGUGCUUUACCUGGCUUUCAAUUGGAGUAGGAACUCUGCUUUCUAACUGUCUGUUAUUACGGACAAAUUUUUUUUUGAUAACUUGACCUCAAAUC
Molecule: ribosomal RNA, 790 nt
Filed under: Gymnopus alkalivirens
Lineage: Eukaryota; Fungi; Basidiomycota; Agaricomycetes; Agaricales; Omphalotaceae
Description: eukaryotic LSU rRNA
Rfam family: 5.8S ribosomal RNA (bases 281-434)
Source: RNAcentral